GAGAGGAAAUGAAGAUUUGUUGGUUUAAAAUGAGAAAAAAAGUGGUUGAAAAUUGAAUUCUAGAGCUUUAAGAGCUCAAAAAUGGUGGUUUAUGAUGGUUGGAAAAAUUGAUGAUAAUGGUGUUAUUGUAAAUAAAAAGAAAUGGUGUGGGUGUAUUUGGUUUUUCAGUGAAUUUCGAAAUUAAUAAAAAAAUAAAUAAUAAUGGCAAUUUUGUAAAUAAUUCAAAAACAUAGGGAUAAUAUAAAAAAUUCAUUGAUGAAUAGUAAUGACAAAAAAAGGUUGGUUUUGAGUUUGACUUGAAAAGAUGAGUUAGUUUUGAAAAACUCCUGUUUAUUAUCUACUACUAUAAACAAAAUUUAUUAAUUAGUUUUUCUUCUUAAUUUCCUUUAAACAAUCAUAAUUAAAAUUUUGAAAUAACACUGUCACAAAUAUUUUUUUCAUUUUUAUUAUCUUUGUUUUAAUUUUACAACUCACAACUAUGUAUCUAUAAUGUUAAGAUAUUGAUUUUUAUAAUUAUUUUCAUUUGAUGUAUUUUAAUUUUAUUUCAUGAUUAUGUCUACUGGAAAUAUUAAUA
RNAcentral lists this long non-coding RNA (574 nucleotides) under Brassica napus (rape). Its description in RNAcentral is "long non-coding RNA (BNAP_LNC018015)". Lineage: Eukaryota; Viridiplantae; Streptophyta; Magnoliopsida; Brassicales; Brassicaceae. The record is from RNAcentral.